Molecule: ribosomal RNA, 253 nt
Filed under: uncultured bacterium
Lineage: Bacteria
Description: partial 16S ribosomal RNA
Rfam family: Bacterial small subunit ribosomal RNA
Source: RNAcentral
UACGGAGGGUGCAAGCGUUAUCCGGAUUUACUGGGUUUAAAGGGUGCGUAGGUGGGUCUGUAAGUCAGUGGUGAAAUCUCCGAGCUUAACUCGGAAACUGCCAUUGAUACUAUAGGUCUUGAAUACUGUGGAGGUCAGCGGAAUAUGUCAUGUAGCGGUGAAAUGCUUAGAUAUGACAUAGAACACCAAUUGCGAAGGCAGCUGGCUACACAAAUAUUGACACUGAGGCACGAAAGCGUGGGGAUCAAACAGG